Long non-coding RNA from Drosophila pseudoobscura, 520 nucleotides. RefSeq lists it as uncharacterized. The transcript is spliced from 3 exons. NCBI's taxonomy places the organism in Eukaryota, Metazoa, Arthropoda, Insecta, Diptera, Drosophilidae. The record is from RefSeq and is a predicted model, not a curated record.
CGUCGCCGUCGCCGUCGCCCUGCUGUUGGCUGCGCUGCCUGCUCCUGUGAUUUGCCUCUUUUUGGGCUCUCAUUUACACAGAAAUGCUCUAUGGAAUCGCAUUUUUGUGUAGUUUUGCAUCGACGGGGUCCUGUGAAAUAUGCUACGCAAUGAAAUUUUCCUCCUUCUGGAUUCCAUGACAACCAAAACACACAUAUGAGAUGGAUGGAUGGAUGGUCUUUGUUAUUUUGUAAUGGAGAUGCUGUGGGAAAGAGACCCAGAGAAAGAGAGAGAGCGAUAGAGAGAGAAAAUAGGGACGGAAGAGAGAGAGAGCGGGAGAAUGUGUGGCGAAAAAAGAUGCAAGGCAAAAUGUCAAAAACGAAUUGCACACAAAAAUUCCCAGGCGGUAAGGGCAGCAAAGCAGGACUACGCGCUGAGAAUUCACAAUUGGCAAAGGGCGUAACCGAGUACCCGAUCUGGAACAGCCCAAAGAAUGUUUUUUUCAUUUUUGAAGAGUUGGCUGUACGUUUAAGUACGUGAA